UGAUAGCUAUGAUCCGCAAGGUUGCUGUCGAACACAGGACAGGUAAUUUGCGGGGAGCGAAUGUCUAGUGAGAAGCUGGCGACAA
RNAcentral lists this non-coding RNA (85 nucleotides) under bovine gut metagenome. RNAcentral's name for it is "S10-Clostridia ribosomal protein leader". It matches the Rfam family "S10-Clostridia ribosomal protein leader". The record is from RNAcentral.